This is a long non-coding RNA of Oreochromis niloticus (Nile tilapia), 1083 nucleotides long. RefSeq lists it as uncharacterized. NCBI's taxonomy places the organism in Eukaryota, Metazoa, Chordata, Actinopteri, Cichliformes, Cichlidae. The record is from RefSeq and is a predicted model, not a curated record. The transcript is spliced from 3 exons.
CUAUGUGAUAGAAAAGGAAACAAUAAUUGUUAUAAAAACAAAUAAAGCACAUUUAUUAAUAUAUAUGAAGUAGAAGAACUGUCUCUGCAAAGUUCAGUCAUGUCUGUGCAUCACCACAAAGCUGAUCUGUUCAGAUAAGUGAGCAGGUGUUGGUACUCAGUAUAUGACUACUUUAGUUAGCUGUAACAUUUGCAGUGUAAAUUAUAAUGAUUUAAUACUGGAGUGUUAUUACUGAUAGAUCUACCCAGAAGUUUGAAAUUGGCAAUAACAGAAUAUCCUGAAUAUAAUGACUUUGACAGUUUUCCACUUGAUUAAUUCUGAUCAAAAACACUUUAUGCCACCAGAACAACUAAGACCUAUCAAGGUUUGGACUCCACAAUAUCUCUGCUGGUGUCUAAUAGUAUCAGGCAGAUCCUUUCAGUUCUGUCAGUUGUGAGGUGGGUCUUCCACUGAUUGUUGUUCCAGGGGUCAGCAUAAGAAGUCUGUCAUUUCAUAAGUUUUCACUUGUAUUAUUAUUUUGAAAGAGAUCUGGUUUCCUGUUUUGUUUUGGUUUUUGUCUCUGCCUGAAAUACAUGCAUGACAUUUUUAUUCUGCUUUUUCCACAUUUCAGCAAUCUCCUCACCAAACAGUGGCACAGAAAAGUCAAGUCCAGAUCGACUGCAGUCAUAAUGAUGGGAACCUUGCUCUAAUGCUCUGACCUUUGCUGAACAAAGCCGUGUUUAACCUACAACAGCACAAACUUGGAGGAUGUCAGCUGUGAUCGGGUUUCUUCUCGUCUUCCUUUCAAGUCAAGCCAGCAGUGUGACCUUUCAGCCAUCUCAUCCAAGAAUAGUCACUGAAACAGCCAAUGUUAAGAUUGCAUGCAGUCAUGAUGAUAAUGGCCUCAAUUUAAUGCUUUGGUACCAGCAAAAAGAAAAUGGUUUAAUGAGCUUCAUAGGAUACAGCUACACAGGCAGUGUCGCUGUCAUCGAGGAGCAGUUUGAAAAUCGUUUUGACAUUACAAGAGAAAAUAUCCAAACAGGAGCUCUGAGCAUCAGCAGUGUGAUUGUAUCAGACUCAGCUGUGUACUUCUGUGCUGCCAGC